GAUGAACGCUGUCGGCGUGCCUAAUACAUGCAAGUCGAGCGAACGGACGAGAAGCUUGCUUCUCUGAUGUUAGCGGCGGACGGGUGAGUAACACGUGGAUAACCUACCUAUAAGACUGGGAUAACUUCGGGAAACCGGAGCUAAUACCGGAUAAUAUUUUGAACCGCAUGGUUCAAAGGUGAAAGACGGUCUUGCUGUCACUUAUAGAUGGAUCCGCGCUGCAUUAGCUAGUUGGUAAGGUAACGGCUUACCAAGGCAACGAUGCAUAGCCGACCUGAGAGGGUGAUCGGCCACACUGGAACUGAGACACGGUCCAGACUCCUACGGGAGGCAGCAGUAGGGAAUCUUCCGCAAUGGGCGAAAGCCUGACGGAGCAACGCCGCGUGAGUGAUGAAGGUCUUCGGAUCGUAAAACUCUGUUAUUAGGGAAGAACAUAUGUGUAAGUAACUGUGCACAUCUUGACGGUACCUAAUCAGAAAGCCACGGCUAACUACGUG
RNAcentral lists this ribosomal RNA (497 nucleotides) under uncultured bacterium. RNAcentral's name for it is "partial 16S ribosomal RNA". It matches the Rfam family "Bacterial small subunit ribosomal RNA", at positions 28 to 507 of the family's 1533-position model. The record is from RNAcentral.